GGAGCUAAAGAGGGGAGGCCGGCGAGUUAAGGAGGUCCGGCCGCGCUGGUGCGUGCUGUGCGCGGCUGCCAUUUUGGAGUCGGGCAGCUGAGACAAGCGGCCGGGUUCGGCCGAAGAGGGAGGAGCCAGUCAGCCUAAACAGAAUGUUCACUCCGUACCUGGCCACGGGAGCGAUGAAGAGGGAGAUGUGUGAAGAAAGGAAUGGAGACUGGUGUGGGCUAUCACCGGUAGGAAGUAGGAGAUUCGAGGAGCUGCGGAGCCGGAGCAGGAACGCCUUGAGAAAGGAGGUGCAACUGACCAAUUACUUUUGGAGACCAUAGGAGAAAGACACAGCCUUGCCAGCUAGAAGAUGCUUAGAAAGACGGAAGACUCACCCACGUGCCAGUAGUUCACUAACUAGCCUUUCCUCAAACAGCCAGACCAUAGGAAGAAUUAAGUCCCCCAAAGGCCCUUCUUGGUGAUGUCUGUGGAGGGGGUAAUUGUGCCUGUGAGAUUUUUCACCUGGAGACCAAGGGUGGCCUCUUAGGUCCUGGGCACAGUCAGAAAUUUCCUUCCCCUGUGUGAGAAUACAGAGAGCCAGGAAAAACAAAACAGUGUCAUUUAUCCCCGAAUCCCUGUAAGGCCUGCUGUACAGUUCCACAGAAUGAAGCAGAUUUAACAACUACAAAUAAGCCAGCCUUGUAUAGAUCCAUGGCAUUGAACUGAGACGGCCGGGCUGGCAGGAUGGUGUAGUAGGUUGAGCUACUUGCUACCAAGCCUCAAGUGAGAUCUCAGGAGCCGUGUGGUGGAAGGAGAAAACUGACUCCUGAAAGUUGCUCUUUAAUCUCCACAUGCACACCAAGGCUCAAGAAAGUGCUCAGGCACACACAUGUCUGUAUACAUACACACUUGUGCCUGCACACACACACACACACACACACACACACACACACCUAUGACACACUUUGAAUAAAAAAAAUAUAAUGAUUUUUUUUUUCUUUUUG
This 983-nucleotide long non-coding RNA is filed under the name Mus spicilegus (steppe mouse). Its description in RNAcentral is "lncRNA (ENSMSIG00000010475.1)". The record is from RNAcentral. Lineage: Eukaryota; Metazoa; Chordata; Mammalia; Rodentia; Muridae.